RNAcentral lists this ribosomal RNA (488 nucleotides) under uncultured bacterium. RNAcentral describes it as "partial 16S ribosomal RNA". It matches the Rfam family "Bacterial small subunit ribosomal RNA", at positions 30 to 507 of the family's 1533-position model. The record is from RNAcentral.
AUUGAACGCUGGCGGCAUGCUUUACACAUGCAAGUCGAACGGCAGCACAGGGAGCUUGCUCCUGGGUGGCGAGUGGCGAACGGGUGAGUAAUGUAUCGGAACGUGCCUGGUAGUGGGGGAUAACUACUCGAAAGAGCGGCUAAUACCGCAUGAGAUCUUUGGAUGAAAGCGGGGGACCUUCGGGCCUCGUGCUACUGGAGCGGCCGAUAUCAGAUUAGGUUGUUGGUGGGGUAAAGGCCUACCAAGCCUGCGAUCUGUAGCUGGUCUGAGAGGACGACCAGCCACACUGGGACUGAGACACGGCCCAGACUCCUACGGGAGGCAGCAGUGGGGAAUUUUGGACAAUGGGCGCAAGCCUGAUCCAGCAAUGCCGCGUGCAGGACGAAGGCCUUCGGGUUGUAAACUGCUUUUGUACAGAACGAAAAGUCUCUGGCUAAUAUCUAGAGAUCAUGACGGUACUGUAAGAAUAAGCACCGGCUAACUACGUG